GGUCCGGUAGUUCAGUUGGUUAGAACGCUGGCCUGUCACGCCAGAGGUCGCGAGUUCGAGUCUCGUCCGGACCGCAA
RNAcentral lists this transfer RNA (77 nucleotides) under Bacteroidetes bacterium CG12_big_fil_rev_8_21_14_0_65_60_17. RNAcentral's name for it is "tRNA-Asp". It matches the Rfam family "tRNA". From Rfam's summary of the family: Transfer RNA (tRNA) molecules are approximately 80 nucleotides in length. Their secondary structure includes four short double-helical elements and three loops (D, anti-codon, and T loops). Further hydrogen bonds mediate the characteristic L-shaped molecular structure. tRNAs have two regions of fundamental functional importance: the anti-codon, which is responsible for specific mRNA codon recognition, and the 3' end, to which the tRNAs corresponding amino acid is attached (by aminoacyl-tRNA synthetases). tRNAs cope with the degeneracy of the genetic code in two manners: having more than one tRNA (with a specific anti-codon) for a particular amino acid; and 'wobble' base-pairing, i.e. permitting non-standard base-pairing at the 3rd anti-codon position. Lineage: Bacteria; Pseudomonadati; Bacteroidota. The record is from RNAcentral.